Molecule: ribosomal RNA, 483 nt
Filed under: uncultured bacterium
Lineage: Bacteria
Description: partial 16S ribosomal RNA
Rfam family: Bacterial small subunit ribosomal RNA
Source: RNAcentral
AUUGAACGCUGGCGGCAGGCCUAACACAUGCAAGUCGAGCGGAUGAAGGGAGCUUGCUCCUGGAUUCAGCGGCGGACGGGUGAGUAAUGCCUAGGAAUCUGCCUGGUAGUGGGGGAUAACGUCCGGAAACGGGCGCUAAUACCGCAUACGUCCUGAGGGAGAAAGUGGGGGAUCUUCGGACCUCACGCUAUCAGAUGAGCCUAGGUCGGAUUAGCUAGUUGGUGGUGUAAGGCCUACCAAGGCGACGAUCCGUAACUGGUCUGAGAGGAUGAUCAGUCACACUGGAACUGAGACACGGUCCAGACUCCUACGGGAGGCAGCAGUGGGGAAUAUUGGACAAUGGGCGAAAGCCUGGUCCAGCCAUGCCGCGUGUGUGAAGAAGGUCUUCGGAUUGUAAAGCACUUUAAGUUGGGAGGAAGGGCAGUAAGUUAAUACCUUGCUGUUUUGACGUUACCAACAGAAUAAGCACCGGCUAACUUCGUG